Choloepus didactylus (southern two-toed sloth) is the source of this 726-nucleotide long non-coding RNA. RefSeq lists it as uncharacterized. NCBI's taxonomy places the organism in Eukaryota, Metazoa, Chordata, Mammalia, Pilosa, Megalonychidae. The transcript is spliced from 5 exons. The record is from RefSeq and is a predicted model, not a curated record.
AAAGCAUUUCCUGAUCUUGGUUGAAUGAUUCAAUUUCACUGUGACUAAACCCAGCUCCGGGUUGCUCAUGCAGUGGGAGAGCGGAGGCCAGAUGCUGUGUGCAAUUCAGAUGGAAAGCCCUGGAACUGUGAGCAGCUAUUUCGGAACAAAGAAAUAAAUGGAGAUGUGUGUGCUCUUUUGCCUUGGAAGUCCAUCCCUGUUUGCAGGAACCAUUGUGCCAUCUGAAACAGAGCAGCGAACUGCAUGGAAAAAAAGACUUCUGGUUGAGCAACUGCUGUUAAUACUGUAAGAAGGUUUUCAUAUGCCUGGGCCUACUGCUUCUAAACAAAAGAUAAAGGUAGAGUGUAAUUAAGAUGGAAGGAUCCAGCAACCUACCCGGCGGCCCAAAAGGUCCCGUCUCUCCUUUCUGGCCAGGGGCACCAUCAAACCCUGGAAUACCCGGUGGUCCAGGUAAACCUAUCGAUCCUGACACACCUAAAACAAAGGAAAAAGAAUUCAUGAGCUGCUCCCGGUCCCUUGGAAAAUUAAAUUUGGUUUUGAUGAAAAUUUAAAGAAGAACCAAGAAGGCACAUGUUUCCAAUCACGUAAUGAAACUGCAGAAUGAUCCCAAGUGGGGGGCGCAGGACACAGUCUGGUUUCACCUGCCUCCCCAAUGGACCACGCGACACUGGAAGGCUGAGAACUGUUUUACUCACCUUUCACAUGUAAAGGUCACAGCACCUGGAA